This 253-nucleotide ribosomal RNA is filed under the name uncultured Legionella sp. RNAcentral describes it as "partial 16S ribosomal RNA". It matches the Rfam family "Bacterial small subunit ribosomal RNA", at positions 524 to 776 of the family's 1533-position model. Lineage: Bacteria; Pseudomonadati; Pseudomonadota; Gammaproteobacteria; Legionellales; Legionellaceae. The record is from RNAcentral.
UACGGAGGGUGCAAGCGUUAAUCGGAAUUACUGGGCGUAAAGCGUGCGUAGGUGGUUGGAUAAGUUAUCUGUGAAAUCCCUGGGCUCAACCUGGGCAGGUCAGAUAAGACUGUUUAACUAGAGUAUAGGAGAGGGUAGUGGAAUUUCCGGUGUAGCGGUGAAAUGCGUAGAGAUCGGAAGGAACACCAGUGGCGAAGGCGACUACCUGGCCAGAUACUGACACUGAGGCACGAAAGCGUGGGGAGCAAACAGG